CUCCCCACAGGAAGAGGACAUUGGAAAACCACUGUCCCCACAGGAAGAGGACAUUUUAAAACCACUGUCCCCACAGGAAGAGGACAUUUUAAAACCACUGUCCCCAGCAGAAGAAAACCCUGUCCCGCGCGACCCCACUGACUCGUCACAGCUGGAGCACCACGGGAUUGGGAAGGAGCCGGACGUGGAGUCUCAGCUGGAGCACCCACAGAGGCGGCCCAGGAGUGGCGUGUUUGGAGGGAUGAAAAGAAUAAGGAACUGGUUCCGCGAGCCAAGAGACGAGGCAGCGGAACGGGAACACCAGAGGAGGCAGAUGUACGUGGAGAAGUGGCUGGAAGACCAUUUGUCCUGCAAUUACAACAUCAACGAAGAGAGGAGGCAGAAGGGUGAAGAGCUGGCGCGACAGAAAGCCGAGCAAAUGGAACGGGAGUACAGGGAGAAGUACGAGGGCAGAGACGACUGGAUUGAAGAGUUUUUGCUCCGCAGUCCUUACUGCCCAGUCCCCAGAAAGCCAGAGCAGGAGAGGGACAGGCCCCAGGAGCUGGCCCAGGGGGAGGAGUCCAAGAGCCAAGGACUCGCCCAAGAGAAAGCAGACCAAGAGGAACAGCCGUGCCAAGGGCCAGAGGAGAACGACCAGGCCAAGGAGCUUUCUCAAGGGCAAGACAACGGAGUCCAAGGGCUGUCCCAAGGGCACGAUGACAAACCCUUGGGCCCGGGCAGCGACGACGGCCCCCUGGAGGGGCCCAGCUCUCUCUACAUCCCGAGCAAGUCCCAGCGGCCUCUCUCUUCCAAACAACCAAAAGCAGACACUUCUCCAUCCACCAGUGAGGAGCAGACCCCAGCAGCAUCCCGCAGCUCCUCCCAGGGCAGCCAAGUUCUGCAGGACACAGUCCAGCCCCUCAUCCACGACAUCCUGAGCAAGGCUGUGCUGGAGGUGGACACUUCAUCCAUCACUGAGUCCUACACCCCAGCAGGGUCCCGGAACCCCUCCCAGGGCAGCCAAGCUCUGUGGGACACAGCUCAGAAAUUAAUCCAGCACUUCCUGAGCAAGGCUGCGCUGGAGGUGCAGGGGUGCCCCCAGCAGCCAGAGGAGCAGCACAAGCUGGGACAAAGCCCGGCUGCAGACGUGGCACCAGCAGUUGCAGCCCAGGCCGUGUCCCCAGGGGCAGAGGGCAGUGAAGCCCCCAGGGCUGUCCCCGGGAAACGUCCCUCCCUGUUGAGGCGCACGCUCCGCGCUGUGCACAGGCUGUUCCGCUGGCCCCGCAGGCCGGCACAGCCGCACCAUUAGGCCCCGCUCCAGCGCCAGGCCCGGCCCAGACAGCGCAGGGCGGGCAGCGCUUUGCCGGGACCGACAUCUCCCGCAGACCAGCACAGCACGGAACAGCACAGGCGCCGCAACGAGGCCAAGAAGCGACCACAGACUGGAGGGGGAUCGAGAGCCCCAGAGACCCCCAGACCUCAGAC
This 1464-nucleotide long non-coding RNA is filed under the name Manacus vitellinus (golden-collared manakin). RNAcentral's name for it is "lncRNA (ENSMVIG00005000371.1)". Lineage: Eukaryota; Metazoa; Chordata; Aves; Passeriformes; Pipridae. The record is from RNAcentral.